GGGGAUAUGGCGAAAUUGGUAGACGCUACGGACUUAAUUGUAAUUCUAUUGAGCCUUGGUAUGGAAACCCACUAAGUGAUAACUUUCAAAUUCAGAGAAACCCUGGAAUUAAUAAAAAGGGGCAAUCCUGAGCCAAAUCCCGUUUUCUUUUCCCCGAAAACAAAGGUUCAGAAAGUGAAAACGGAUAGGUGCAGAGACUCAACGGAAGCUGUUCUAACAAAUGGAGUUGGCUGCGUUAGUAGAGAAAUCUUUCCAUCGAAAAUUAAGAAGUGAAGGAUAAACGUAUAUACAUACGUAUUGAAUACUAUAUCAAAAUCAAAUGAUUAAUGACGACCCGACUGAAUCUAUAUUUUUUACAUGAAAAACGGAAGAAUUGGUGUGAUUAGAUUCCACAUUGAAGAAAGGAUCGAAUAUUCAUUGAUCAAAUGAUUCACUCCAUAGUCUGAUAGAUCUUUUCAAGAAGUGAUUAAUCGGACGAGAAUAAAGAUAGAGUCCCAUUCUACAUGUCAAUGCCGACAACAAUGAAAUUUAUAGUAAGAGGAAAAUCCGUCGACUUUAAAAAUCGUGAGGGUUCAAGUCCCUCUAUCU
This 588-nucleotide non-coding RNA is filed under the name Coptosapelta flavescens. Its description in RNAcentral is "transfer RNA-Leu". The stretch from base 26 to 516 matches the Rfam family "Group I catalytic intron". Rfam says of the family: Group I catalytic introns are large self-splicing ribozymes. They catalyse their own excision from mRNA, tRNA and rRNA precursors in a wide range of organisms. The core secondary structure consists of 9 paired regions (P1-P9). Lineage: Eukaryota; Viridiplantae; Streptophyta; Magnoliopsida; Gentianales; Rubiaceae. The record is from RNAcentral.